GGCGGCGCGCUUAACACAUGCAAGUCGAGUGCGCAGUCUUCUGUAGCAAUACAGGAGGCCGGCGCACGGCGCACGGGUGCGUAACACGUGGGCAACCUGCCCUCCAAAGGGGGAUAACCCCGCGAAAGCGGGGCUAAUACCGCAUGACAUUCCGGGGGACGCAUGUUCCUGGAUUCAAAGCCCGCAAGGGCGUUGGGGGAGGGGCCCGCGGCCGAUUAGCUUGUUGGCGAGGUAACGGCUCACCAAGGCUUUGAUCGGUAGCCGGUCUGAGAGGAUGAUCGGCCACACUGGAACUGAGACACGGUCCAGACUCCUACGGGAGGCAGCAGUGGGGAAUAUUGCGCAAUGGGCGAAAGCCUGACGCAGCGACGCCGCGUGGGGGAUGAAGCUUCUCGGAGUGUAAACCCCUUUCGACCCGGAAGAAUGGCCCGCAAGGGCUUGACGGUACGGGUAUAAGAAGCCCCGGCUAACUACGUGCCAGCAGCCGCGGUAAUACGUAGGGGGCCAGCGUUGCUCGGAAUUACUGGGCGUNAAGGGU
This 538-nucleotide ribosomal RNA is filed under the name uncultured Acidobacteriota bacterium. RNAcentral's name for it is "bacterial SSU rRNA". It matches the Rfam family "Bacterial small subunit ribosomal RNA", at positions 38 to 568 of the family's 1533-position model. The record is from RNAcentral. Lineage: Bacteria; Pseudomonadati; Acidobacteriota.